CCUCAGACGCCCCACAUUCCAGCGUUGCCGUGGCUGCCUGCCUGCAUCCGUGGUCACGGCGAUUCCAUGGGUUCCUACAAUCCUUCAGCAGCUUGCUGAUUUGGGGUGGGCAACCGACUCUCAGAGACAGGGGGCGGGGGGGAGACAGUGGAAGAGAGGGACAUAAGAGAGGGAUGAGAGAGAGCGAGGGAGACAGGAGAGGGAGACAGAUAGAGGGAGAUUCAAGCAGAAGAGAGGACACAAGAAAAGGUAAAUGAUAAAGUAAGGUGACGGAGCAAAAAACACUAAAUAUAUUCAACAGCGGCACAUUGUACUAUAGAUUCAUAGAUUUUUUUGCAUCUCCUUCUAAUACUAAUUUGUCAUAUUUGUAUACAUCAAUAAAUACUUACACCAGAAAUAAAAUGUCUCAUAGAAAAAAUAAACACAGUAUAAAAAAAGUAAAGCUCUGAGAACAUUUUAAGUGGAAAAAUGAAUCUUUGUUAGAGUAUUUUAAUCUGUGGACAGCAGAAAAAAAAUAGCAUGUUCACAGUCAGAAUGUGGAAGGUGAGCGAGGUAGAAGGUCUCUCCGAGAACAGAGGAACGAGGGAAUGGAAGGUGAGCGAGGUAGGUCUCUCCUAGAACAGAGGAAUGAGUCCCUGCUGAGGACCCUUGCAUGUCUGUGUGCAAUGUCUCUGUCUGUGUUAGCGUAGUUGUGACUCUCAAUGUCUGCGCAACAAAAUGUCUCUGUGAAGUUGAAAGUGCUCCACUGUUCAGUGUGUGUGUGUGUGUGGUGUGUGUUUCUGUCCUCGUGUCUGUGUAUCACAGGAGGAGCACACACCUCUAAAUGCGUCCCUGGCAUUGUAACAUUUAAUGUGUCAUUUAAAUCCGUGAGGGAUUAUAGCUCUGCUGUCAAAAGGAGCAAAAAAGCUCCUUGAAUCCAUUUGUUUUUUAAAGGACCAUCUCAGCCGGAUGGAUAGUCGGUGGGCAGCGGUGGUGAUUUGGAGCCUGGGUCAUGCUAAGAGUCCAGAGGAAAGCGUGGCACGGAACAAGUCUGUCCUAGAUUAAGAGCCUGCUCUAAUCCUCCAUUUCUGCGCACACAUUGGGUUUCCCUCAAUCUCAGCCUGACCGUCCUAAUGGGAGAACUAAAGCUGGAGGCCACAUAAUCACAACGUUAAAAGCCGCGAGAGAGGCAGAGAAAGAGAUACAGAGAGAGACAGGGAAAUAGUAAAUAAAAGAGUGUGUGUGAGAGAUGAACAGCUUGAUUGGGUUCAGUCCAGGUUGCAAAAGUCAUGUAACGUCCCCAGUGGAAAACAUUCCCGCAGUGUGAGGUGCAGUCAGGGUCCUGUUUGUCUGGACAACACCACCCCGGGGGCCUGGGAGUUUGUGGGCUCCUUGUCCAGGUACAGGCUGAAGUGCUGGAUGCUGCAGGAGCCUCUCGCUGGCCAGGGACAGGUUCUUAUCCCAGUUGGGUGGGUAGCCUGUGUGCCUCUCCACGAUUUCCUUACAUAGCUGUCAAUCACAAAGAACACAACUUGUAUACAAUGACCAUAACAAGCACCACUGUACAAAUCUUGACCAUAUACUGUAUGUGAUUAUGGUUAAUGCUCAUACACCCAUUUGUUUGCUAUGGGAGGACUGACUCUCUGUGUAGGAUAGCUCAAACAGGCGAGCUUUCUCCUCUCCCUGGAUCCUCUCAGCCAGGUCAAACAGGCGAGCUUUCUCCUCUCCCUGGAUCCUCUCAGCCAGGUCAAACAGGCGAGCUUUCUCCUCUCCCUGGAUCCUCUCAGCCAGGUCAAACAGACCAGCUUUCUCCUCUUCCUGGAUCCUCUCAGCCAGGUCAAACAGGCCAGCUUUCUCCUCUCCCUGGAUCCUCUCAGCCAGGUCAAACAGACCAGCUUUCUCCUCUCCCUGGAUCCUCUCAGCCAGGUCAAACAGAAAGAAAGCCGUCUUCAUCCUGAAACAAAGAGACCAUAUCACAGGCUCAGAGCUAAGUUCUGGAUGGAUGAACUGUGGAGAUUUAUCCACAGAGAUGCACUAGGAGAAUAUAGUGAUUUAUGUAGAUGCUAGCUACACAACAGCAUUUCAUGUAGAAUAGCUGGUGCUCUACCACACCAGAGUGGGUUACGUAGAUGUUUUAGCUGGCAGACUAGGCUGAUCUGUCAGAGAGGCUCUCUGUAAACUAUACAUAUAUACAGUGACUGCAAGAGAAAAGAGAGUCAGUGUCUUCAGCGUUUACUCUUUACUUUACCUGGCCGGCCACAUCUCCUAGACCCCCUUACCCAGGACCCUAGGUGGUAAAUGGAACAAGACACAGCUCUAUAUCUCAACACCUCCGGGGCUUUUCUCAUGCAUCAUUCCUUCCACACAAUCAUAUUCAUUCAUGUAUCACUAUGGGAUGUUAAUACACAUUGUUCAAAGUGU
Oncorhynchus tshawytscha (Chinook salmon) is the source of this 2400-nucleotide long non-coding RNA. NCBI's taxonomy places the organism in Eukaryota, Metazoa, Chordata, Actinopteri, Salmoniformes, Salmonidae. The record is from Ensembl.